This 445-nucleotide ribosomal RNA is filed under the name uncultured bacterium. Its description in RNAcentral is "partial 16S ribosomal RNA". It matches the Rfam family "Bacterial small subunit ribosomal RNA", at positions 329 to 792 of the family's 1533-position model. The record is from RNAcentral.
UCCCAGACUCCUCGGGAGGCAGCAGUGGGGGAUAUUGCACAAUGGGGGGAACCCUGAUGCAGCGACGCCGCGUGGGUGAAGAAGCGCCUCGGCGCGUAAAGCCCUGUCAGCAGGGAAGAAAAUGACGGUACCUGAAGAAGAAGCCCCGGCUAACUACGUGCCAGCAGCCGCGGUAAUACGUAGGGGGCAAGCGUUAUCCGGAUUUACUGGGUGUAGAGGGAGCGUAGACGGCAGUGCAAGUCCGGAGUGAAAGCCCGGGGCUCAACCCUGGGACUGCUCUGGAAACUGUAAAGCUGGAGUGCGGGAGGGGCAGGCGGAAUUCCUGGUGUAGCGGUGAAAUGCGUAGAUAUUAGGAAGAACACCAGUGGCGAAGGCGGCUUUCUGGACUGAAACUGACGCUGAGGCACGAAAGCGUGGGGAGCGAACAGGAUUAGAUACCCGAGUA